This 261-nucleotide unclassified non-coding RNA is filed under the name Hevea brasiliensis (rubber tree). Lineage: Eukaryota; Viridiplantae; Streptophyta; Magnoliopsida; Malpighiales; Euphorbiaceae. The record is from RNAcentral.
GUGUUUUGUGUGUUUGUUUUAUUUAUUUGCAGUUUACAUGCUUUCUCGGUACACAACAAUUAGUAUCAGAACAUAGAGAUGAUCUUGGUGAGUUUGAUUAAAAGUGGAGCUACUAUGACAUAUAAAAAGUCGCACAUGCAACAAUAGUGAUGGUCAAAAGUUGAAAUUAAUGUGAAAUUUUUUAUGAGAAAUCAAGAUGGUUAAUGACGUGAAGUUUUUUUUAAGAAUGAAACAAAUUACACCCAAGAUGAAGAUUGAAAA